GCCUGCUAAAAUGGGACAUGGACACAACGUAAAAAUUCAAAGUUUGAAAAAAACUGGAAUGGCUGUCUCUCAAAUGUGCUCCUUCCAUGUCCCCAUAUACCUGGCAAAGGUACUUAUGGGGAUAUUGCUGUACUCAGACGACAUAGCUGAGCAACAUAUGUAGUAUUAUACAGUCAUAGCACGCAUAAGGUUUGCAAAAUAUACUGUGCAAACUCACUUUGUGUGUCAAAAAGGCAGAAUAAAUGCUUAUUACCACUACACUUGGUACAAGCUAGCGGAAAAA
Pelobates cultripes (western spadefoot toad) is the source of this 283-nucleotide non-coding RNA. The record is from the annotation of a GenBank genome assembly. Lineage: Eukaryota; Metazoa; Chordata; Amphibia; Anura; Pelobatidae.